This 2931-nucleotide ribosomal RNA is filed under the name Klebsiella aerogenes. Its description in RNAcentral is "bacterial LSU rRNA". It matches the Rfam family "Bacterial large subunit ribosomal RNA". The record is from RNAcentral. Lineage: Bacteria; Pseudomonadati; Pseudomonadota; Gammaproteobacteria; Enterobacterales; Enterobacteriaceae.
GGGUUGUGAGGUUAAGCGACUAAGCGUACACGGUGGAUGCCCUGGCAGUCAGAGGCGAUGAAGGACGUGCUAAUCUGCGAAAAGCGUCGGUAAGGUGAUAUGAACCGUUACAGCCGGCGAUGUCCGAAUGGGGAAACCCAGUGCAAUUCGUUGCACUAUCGUUAACUGAAUACAUAGGUUAACGAGGCGAACCGGGGGAACUGAAACAUCUAAGUACCCCGAGGAAAAGAAAUCAACCGAGAUUCCCCCAGUAGCGGCGAGCGAACGGGGAGCAGCCCAGAGUCUGAAUCAGCUUGUGUGUUAGUGGAACGGUCUGGAAAGUCCGACGGUACAGGGUGAUAGUCCCGUACACCAAAAUGCACAGGCUGUGAACUCGAAGAGUAGGGCGGGACACGUGGUAUCCUGUCUGAAUAUGGGGGGACCAUCCUCCAAGGCUAAAUACUCCUGACUGACCGAUAGUGAACCAGUACCGUGAGGGAAAGGCGAAAAGAACCCCGGCGAGGGGAGUGAAAAAGAACCUGAAACCGUGUACGUACAAGCAGUGGGAGCACCUUCGGGUGUGACUGCGUACCUUUUGUAUAAUGGGUCAGCGACUUAUAUUCUGUAGCAAGGUUAACCGUAUAGGGGAGCCGCAGGGAAACCGAGUCUUAACUGGGCGUUAAGUUGCAGGGUAUAGACCCGAAACCCGGUGAUCUAGCCAUGGGCAGGUUGAAGGUUGGGUAACACUAACUGGAGGACCGAACCGACUAAUGUUGAAAAAUUAGCGGAUGACUUGUGGCUGGGGGUGAAAGGCCAAUCAAACCGGGAGAUAGCUGGUUCUCCCCGAAAGCUAUUUAGGUAGCGCCUCGUGAAUUCAUCUUCGGGGGUAGAGCACUGUUUCGGCUAGGGGGUCAUCCCGACUUACCAACCCGAUGCAAACUACGAAUACCGAAGAAUGUUAUCACGGGAGACACACGGCGGGUGCUAACGUCCGUCGUGAAGAGGGAAACAACCCAGACCGCCAGCUAAGGUCCCAAAGUCACAGUUAAGUGGGAAACGAUGUGGGAAGGCACAGACAGCCAGGAUGUUGGCUUAGAAGCAGCCAUCAUUUAAAGAAAGCGUAAUAGCUCACUGGUCGAGUCGGCCUGCGCGGAAGAUGUAACGGGGCUAAACUGUGCACCGAAGCUGCGGCAGCGACACUAUGUGUUGUUGGGUAGGGGAGCGUUCUGUAAGCCUGCGAAGGUGGCCUGUGAGGGUUGCUGGAGGUAUCAGAAGUGCGAAUGCUGACAUAAGUAACGAUAAUGCGGGUGAAAAGCCCGCACGCCGGAAGACCAAGGGUUCCUGUCCAACGUUAAUCGGGGCAGGGUGAGUCGACCCCUAAGGCGAGGCCGAAAGGCGUAGUCGAUGGGAAACAGGUUAAUAUUCCUGUACUUGGUGUUACUGCGAAGGGGGGACGGAGAAGGCUAUGUUAGCCGGGCGACGGUUGUCCCGGUUUAAGCAUGUAGGCGGAGGUUCCAGGUAAAUCCGGUACCUUUUAACGCUGAGGUGUGAUGACGAGGCACUACGGUGCUGAAGUAACAAAUGCCCUGCUUCCAGGAAAAGCCUCUAAGCAUCAGGUAACAUUGAAUCGUACCCCAAACCGACACAGGUGGUCAGGUAGAGAAUACCAAGGCGCUUGAGAGAACUCGGGUGAAGGAACUAGGCAAAAUGGUGCCGUAACUUCGGGAGAAGGCACGCUGAUAUGUAGGUGAAGCCCCUGCGGGUGGAGCUGAAAUCAGUCGAAGAUACCAGCUGGCUGCAACUGUUUAUUAAAAACACAGCACUGUGCAAACACGAAAGUGGACGUAUACGGUGUGACGCCUGCCCGGUGCCGGAAGGUUAAUUGAUGGGGUUAUCCGUAAGGAGAAGCUCUUGAUCGAAGCCCCGGUAAACGGCGGCCGUAACUAUAACGGUCCUAAGGUAGCGAAAUUCCUUGUCGGGUAAGUUCCGACCUGCACGAAUGGCGUAAUGAUGGCCAGGCUGUCUCCACCCGAGACUCAGUGAAAUUGAACUCGCUGUGAAGAUGCAGUGUACCCGCGGCAAGACGGAAAGACCCCGUGAACCUUUACUAUAGCUUGACACUGAACAUUGAGCCUUGAUGUGUAGGAUAGGUGGGAGGCUUUGAAGCGUGGACGCCAGUCUGCGUGGAGCCAACCUUGAAAUACCACCCUUUAAUGUUUGAUGUUCUAACGUUGGCCCCUAAUCGGGGUUGCGGACAGUGUCUGGUGGGUAGUUUGACUGGGGCGGUCUCCUCCCAAAGAGUAACGGAGGAGCACGAAGGUUAGCUAAUCCUGGUCGGACAUCAGGAGGUUAGUGCAAUGGCAUAAGCUAGCUUGACUGCGAGCGUGACGGCGCGAGCAGGUGCGAAAGCAGGUCAUAGUGAUCCGGUGGUUCUGAAUGGAAGGGCCAUCGCUCAACGGAUAAAAGGUACUCCGGGGAUAACAGGCUGAUACCGCCCAAGAGUUCAUAUCGACGGCGGUGUUUGGCACCUCGAUGUCGGCUCAUCACAUCCUGGGGCUGAAGUAGGUCCCAAGGGUAUGGCUGUUCGCCAUUUAAAGUGGUACGCGAGCUGGGUUUAGAACGUCGUGAGACAGUUCGGUCCCUAUCUGCCGUGGGCGCUGGAGAAUUGAGGGGGGCUGCUCCUAGUACGAGAGGACCGGAGUGGACGCAUCACUGGUGUUCGGGUUGUCAUGCCAAUGGCAUUGCCCGGUAGCUAAAUGCGGAAGAGAUAAGUGCUGAAAGCAUCUAAGCACGAAACUUGCCCCGAGAUGAGUUCUCCCUGAGACUUUAAGUCUCCUGAAGGAACGUUAAAGACGAUGACGUUGAUAGGUCGGGUGUGUAAGCGUAGCGAUACGUUGAGCUAACCGAUACUAAUGAACCGUGAGGCUUAACCUUACAACGCCGAAGGUGUUU